This 936-nucleotide long non-coding RNA is filed under the name Rattus norvegicus (Norway rat). Its description in RNAcentral is "long non-coding RNA NONRATT023947". Lineage: Eukaryota; Metazoa; Chordata; Mammalia; Rodentia; Muridae. The record is from RNAcentral.
UGCUGGUCCUACCUUUGACCUGCGUAACUCCUCCGGUCGUUUCCCCACUGGUCAUCACCGCCCUUGCCUGACUCCCGGGAAACCUGUAGCAACCCUGGUAGCCUCACGCGCAAUGACAAUCCUCUCCGGUUGCCAGUGGAGUUGAGCACACGGUGGUCCUUGGGCAACAUUUGGUGAGGGGAUGGACAGUGUUUGAGGUCAGGUUGAGACCCAGGAGAAGCAUUCAGGAGAGGAGGCCACAGAGUUUUCUACCUGUGCCAAAGACUGGGCCCUCUGGUGGCAAGGACUACACAUGGCUUGGAGGAAAUGUCCAGGACCCUUCAAGUCCUGCCUGUGCCUAGAAAGUGGGUAGGAGAAAGGGAGGAGAGAGUAGUGUAGGCAAGGUUCCCAAAGACUUCCUUAGGGCAAGGAAAGGUAGGGAGAGAUACCGGGAGGCUGAUGAUGUUGCCAACUAGUUUUCAUCAAGAUUUUCUGCCAGCCUGGAGGCCAGGAUCUGUCAGGGUCACUGACUCUGCCUUCCUGCCCAGGACCUGCACUGGGCCCCGCUAUCAGUGCGGGGGGGGGGGUGCAGAGUCUUCACAGGAAUGGGGGAUGAGACCUUGGCAUGUAGUACAUUGGGGAUAGGAGAGCCCUGCCGUGACAGACUUACAGGGAGUCUCCUGCUUUAGUGUAGGGAGCAAGGUGACAUGCAGGUGGGCUACCUCCUGUCAUCACUACUGCCCUGGGGCAUCUGACAGAUACCUAAGGGUAGUCAGGAACAGGCUUCCUCUCCAGUCCCUAUGUACGCAGAGCCCCUCCUCCCCAGAACCUCUUGCCCUAACCUAAGCUUACUCCAUCUCUCUUCCCCACUAAUGACCCAGACUCUAACAAUAAUACAGUAAGCCAGACGUAAACUGUGCCUGCAGUCUCAUUAAAAUGCUUUAUUUUUCGUCAAAA